AGAGUUUGAUCCUGGCUCAGAACGAACGCUGGCGGCGUGCCUAACACAUGCAAGUCGAACGGGGAUAAGUAGCUUGCUAUUUAUUCUAGUGGCGCACGGGUGAGUAACGCGUAGAUAAUCUGCCUUAGACUCUGGGAUAACAUCUCGAAAGGGGUGCUAAUACCGGAUAAGCCCACGGGGACGUGAGUUCUUGCGGGAAAAGGGGGCCUCUGCAUAUGCUCUUGAUCUAAGAUGAGUCUGCGUACCAUUAGCUUGUUGGUAGGGUAAUGGCCUACCAAGGCGACGAUGGUUAGCUGGUCUGAGAGGAUGAUCAGCCACACUGGGACUGAGACACGGCCCAGACUCCUACGGGAGGCAGCAGUGGGGAAUUUUGCGCAAUGGGGGAAACCCUGACGCAGCAACGCCGCGUGAGUGAUGAAGGCUUUCGGGUCGUAAAGCUCUGUCUAGAGGGAAGAAGUGAUAUUCGGUUAAUACCCGGGUUUCUUGACGGUACCUCUGAAGGAAGCACCGGCUAACUCCGUGCCAGCAGCCGCGGUAAUA
RNAcentral lists this ribosomal RNA (540 nucleotides) under uncultured bacterium. RNAcentral's name for it is "bacterial SSU rRNA". It matches the Rfam family "Bacterial small subunit ribosomal RNA", at positions 8 to 525 of the family's 1533-position model. The record is from RNAcentral.